CCCUCGUCUUCGGGAUAACUACUGGAAACGGUGGCUAAUACCGAAUAUUCACUUCCUGUCGCAUGGUGGGUGGUGGGAAGUUUUUCGGACGAGGAUGGGCUCGCGGCCUAUCAGCUUGUUGGUGGGGUGAUGGCCUACCAAGGCGACGACGGGUAGCCGGCCUGAGAGGGUGACCGGCCACACUGGGACUGAGAUACGGCCCAGACACAUACGGGAGGCAGCAGUGGGGAAUAUUGCACAAUGGGCGAAAGCUGAUGCAGCGACGCCGCGUGAGGGAUGACGGCCUUCGGGUUGUAAACCUCUUUCAGCAGGGAAGAAGCGAAAGUGACGGUACCUGCAGAAGAAGCGCCGGCUAACUACGUGCCAGCAGCCGCGGUAAUACGUAGGGCGCAAGCGUUGUCCGGAAUUAUUGGGCGUAAAGAGCUCGUAGGCGGUUAGUCGCGUCUGCUGUGAAAACUCGAGGCUCAACCUCGGGCUUGCAGUGGGUACGGGCUGACUAGAGUGCGGUAGGGGUGACUGGAAUUCCUGGUGUAGCGGUGGAAUGCGCAGAUAUCAGGAGGAACACCGAUGGCGAAGGCAGGUCAUUGGGCCGCAACUGACGCUGAGGAGCGAAAGCAUGGGGAGCGAACAGGAUUAGAUACCCUGGUAGUCCAUGCCGUAAACGUUGGGCACUAGGUUGUGGGGUCAUUCCACGGAUUCCGUGCCGCAGCAAAGCGAUUAAGUGCCCCGCCUGGGGAGUACGGCGCAAGGCUAAAACUCAAGGAAAUUGACGGGGGCCGCACAAGCGGCGGAGCAUGCGGAUUAAUUCGAUGCAACGCGAAGAACCUUACCAAGGCUUGACAUGCACCGGAAACUUCCAGAGAUGGUUGCCCCGCAAGGAUGGUGCACAGGUGGUGCAUGGUUGUCGUCAGCUCGUGUCGUGAGAUGUUGGGUUAAGUCCCGCAACGAGCGCAACCCUCGUCCCAUGUUGCCAGCGGGUUAUGCCGGGGACUCAUGGGAGACUGCCGGGGUCAACUCGGAGGAAGGUGGGGAUGACGUCAAAUCAUCAUGCCCCUUAUGUCUUGGGCUUCACGCAUGCUACAAUGGCCGGUACAAAGGGUUGCGAUACCGCGAGGUGGAGCGAAUCCCAAAAAGCCGGUCUCAGUUCGGAUUGGGGUCUGCAACUCGACCCCAUGAAGUCGGAGUCGCUAGUAAUCGCAGAUCAGCAACGCUGCGGUGAAUACGUUCCCGGGCCUUGUACA
This 1241-nucleotide ribosomal RNA is filed under the name Cellulomonadaceae bacterium RR74. Its description in RNAcentral is "bacterial SSU rRNA". It matches the Rfam family "Bacterial small subunit ribosomal RNA", at positions 129 to 1387 of the family's 1533-position model. Lineage: Bacteria; Bacillati; Actinomycetota; Actinomycetes; Micrococcales; Cellulomonadaceae. The record is from RNAcentral.